GAGUUUGAUCAUGGCUCAGAUUGAACGCUGGCGGCAGGCCUAACACAUGCAAGUCGAGCGGAUGACGGGAGCUUGCUCCUUGAUUCAGCGGCGGACGGGUGAGUAAUGCCUAGGAAUCUGCCUGGUAGUGGGGGACAACGUUUCGAAAGGAACGCUAAUACCGCAUACGUCCUACGGGAGAAAGCAGGGGACCUUCGGGCCUUGCGCUAUCAGAUGAGCCUAGGUCGGAUUAGCUAGUUGGUGGGGUAAUGGCUCACCAAGGCGACGAUCCGUAACUGGUCUGAGAGGAUGAUCAGUCACACUGGAACUGAGACACGGUCCAGACUCCUACGGGAGGCAGCAGUGGGGAAUAUUGGACAAUGGGCGAAAGCCUGAUCCAGCCAUGCCGCGUGUGUGAAGAAGGUCUUCGGAUUGUAAAGCACUUUAAGUUGGGAGGAAGGGCAGUAAGUUAAUACCUUGCUGUUUGACGUUACGACAGAAUAAGCACCGGCUAACUCUGUGCCAGCACG
RNAcentral lists this ribosomal RNA (509 nucleotides) under bacterium enrichment culture clone ALO1_GLFRUDD03FRFES. Its description in RNAcentral is "bacterial SSU rRNA". It matches the Rfam family "Bacterial small subunit ribosomal RNA", at positions 9 to 515 of the family's 1533-position model. The record is from RNAcentral.